Sapajus apella (tufted capuchin) is the source of this 588-nucleotide long non-coding RNA. RefSeq lists it as uncharacterized. The record is from RefSeq and is a predicted model, not a curated record. Lineage: Eukaryota; Metazoa; Chordata; Mammalia; Primates; Cebidae. The transcript has 3 exons.
AGGCUUGGAAAUGAGCCACAGGGUUAGAAUAUUUUCCUGCCACUCUAGACUGCUUUCACAGCAGUGCAGCUUAUGUCAGGAUUGGGGAGUAGGUGAAAGGAUGCUUCCAUGAUGACACCAUGUUCAGAAUGAUGGCCAUGGAGAUGGAUGGAGCAGUGGGACACAUGUUCUUCUGACUCCCCAGGGGACGUUGGAUGCAUCACAGGAGAUGCUGAAGAUAGAGUAUGGAAUUUCUAGAAACCAUCUCUGUUGCCAUGAUUCUUACUCUCUAAAAGGAAGACUGACAUUGAACAAGUGAUUUCAGGUAUGGAAGACAACUAAGCCUGACCCCAGGGUUGACAUCCUGGCCCAAAGCCUAGAAGCAAGGGGUUCGGUCCCAGGAUGAGGCUCAAAUCUGGGAGACUACAGAAAUUCCUCUUCCUGGAUCCACUUGUAGCAAAAGCCCAACUGGAAUCCAAAGUAGAAGUUAAUAAGCAAGCCACACUGUGUACUUAAUGAAGUUUUUAAGUCAAUUACGAAAGUCUCAUUGAUCAUUUGUUAAGGUCUUGGAAUCUUUACAGAUUAAUUUUAUUAAAACCAAAACAACUC